CUCCGCUUUCUUCUUCAACAGAGGAGAAGGACACCGACUUGCUAAAACAAUUAAUAAGAACAUGGUUGUACUCUAACCAGUUCAUGCCAAGAAUCACAUCCAUUCCACUCAAAGGUAAACAAACUAAAUCCAUUUCAAAAUCACGAUCAUACAUAGACAAAGGACACCUUAAACACACAAGAGAAGUAGUUACCGAACCCUUAGCUGGAGUUUCGACAACCAUUUCUCCAUUCAUAUCAGACAUAGCAAGAUCCAACUUAGAAGCACAAUCAAGAGCAAUAAAACUAUGCGUAGCACCGGUAUCAAUAAUAGCAACUAAAGGAGUAUUAUUAAUAUAGCAAGUACCUCUGAUCAGGCGAUCCUCGUUCUCAGUCUGGGUACCCGUCAAUGCAAAAACUCUACCAGUAGUCUGCGCCUUCUUAGGCUGUUUGCACUGCGAACCAAUGUGACCUUCCUCAUUGCAAUUAAAGCACACAACAUCUUCAUGCUUACACUCAGCAAGUGUAUGACCUUUCUUACCACAGCGAAAACAUCUCUUCACAUCCCCAGGACAAGCAUCACUCUUGUGGCCUUUCACACCACAAGCAUAGCAGACAAUCUCAACAGGAGCAUCUUUCCUUCUAGGGCGCCUAUCCUCGACCAUUCUCUGUUUACCCUUAUCAGCAGGAGCACUGUAAGGCUUAGGACGACUCUGUUGUCCCUUAACUUUCUGUUCGUUCACAACCUUGUAGUGAGCCUUAGUAUCCUUUUCAUAAAUCCUGCAACUGCUCACCAGCUCUGAAAAAUUUCGGAUCUUCUGGUAACCAAUUGCCCUCUUGAUCUCAGCACGUAAAUCGUUCUCGAACUUGAUGCAUUUGGAGAACUCUGCAUUCUCAGCAGUAUAGUGCGGAUAGAACUUUGCCAAUUCCACGAACUUGGCAGCAUACUCAGUCACCGACAUGUUUCCCUGCUUCAGCUCAAGGAACUCUAUCUCUUUCUUCCCUCGAACAUCUUCCGGAAAGUAUCUGCUUAGGAACUCUCUCCUAAAUACGGCCCAUGUAACAACAGCACCAUCUUGUUCUAGGACAGGUAGAAGACUGAUCCACCAAUCAUCCGCUUCCUCAGCUAGCAUAUGCGUUCCAAAACGCACCCUCUGGUCCUCAGUACACUACAUAACUCGAAACACCCUUUCGAUCUCUUUGAGCCACGUCUGAGCUCCAUCAGGGUCAUAUCUUCCCUUGAAGGUAGGAGGAUGAUUCCUCAGAAAAGUUUCCAGCAUCCUCACUUCAGCAUUAGCACCCACAUUCGCAUUAGGUUGUUGCCCCACAGCUUGAGCAACAGCUUGCAGUGCAGCAGCGAUCGCAACGUCGUUUCUCCCAGCCAUUCUUAGUUCUCUACACAUCAACGACAAUUGAAAUAACAUAAGACAUUAUUACAACUGUUACUAGACUCGACACGACUCGACUCAACUACUUGGCCGGACGGACCGACCUGCUCUAAUACCAAUUGGAACACCCCGUUUUCCCAAUGUAAAAAUUUCUUAACAAAUAUCAGAGUAAACAAUCUCAUAAACGGAAUGCUACACUACUUAAAUCACAAAUGAGAUAAUUAACUAAUUAUCCUUUCAAAAAUCAUCAAUCAUAGAUAUUCCAAAACAUUGCAACGGAUUUAAUUCGUCAACGUAAAUAAGUCCUUGGCACGCAGGCCUUUCAAAAAUGUUUCAUAAAGAGAACGUAAACCAGUUUCAACAUGAUAGACAUAAAAUGGUGUUUAACAAAUACGUAUAGGAAUAAGAAAUUGCCACAAAAGUCCCCAUCCCGUUACGUAUCAGAGCACCUAAUAGACUCAGUGAGGGAUGACCACUCACGACAGCAAACCAAAGCAAGCUAAGCACGAUCACCUGCACGUUACCCACGGUCGAGGCAACAUUCAAACAGAAGGGGUGAGAUUUCAAAAAACAAUAACAUUAAGCAAAUAAUUCAACAAUUAUAUUUAACAACAUGAAACGUCAUAAAAUAUCUUAGAAUACUUCAACAAUGGCUCAAGAAAGCACAACUCACCACUUGACAUCUCAACAACUCAUCAACUUGGACUCGACAAUGCGACUAUGCAACUUAGACCUCUUAUAUACAUGUGGUAUCAAUCCGGGGCAUCAAGCCCCCAACGUAAUAAGUAUUAAUAUACUUCUAGGACAUCAAGCCCUCAACUUAGGUGAGCUAAAGCUCCAGGGCAUCAAGCCCUCAACGUGGUUGAGCAAAGGCUCCAGGGCAUCAAGCCCUCAACAAUGUAUGCUAAUGCAUGGACUAGACAACUCAACCUCUUAGAAACGACAACAUCUUAUAUAGUCCAAUAAUUUGGAACAUCUUCAACAACUUAUGACAACUCAUGCAACUCAAUAGUAGUACGACAGUACAUAGACAAUGAGCGACUCGACCCGUGACAUAACGAUAUCAAUGGGAUUCGACAACUUCUCAACACUCUUCUACAAUUCAAGUAUGGCAUAUAUGAAUAUAGCAAUGUCAACAACAUAGGAUCAUAUGAUUCAGGCUUACUAGAACAACAACAGCAAGAUAAACAACUUAGUUCCCAACCCCUAGGAUCAUCUCACAACACUCUUGCAACAAAGGUCUCUCAAAACUAAACAAGUGGUACCGAAACCACAUUGCUCGCUAUGGCGAGCUCAAGGAAAAGGCCUACUCGCCAUGGCGAGUUCAAGGUGAACUCGAGGCGAAUAAAACUGGGUGCUCUCGGGUGUUUUGCAUUUUUCACCUAAAAACUCCAUUUUUCUCUUCCCUAUUUCGAAUUUUGAUCUGAAACUUGUCCCAACCAUUCUUAUACAUAUUAAGGGACUCAAAAUCAUCUAAAGGUCAACUCAAGGGCCACUCUCAAAAUCAGGGUCUUACUCGCUAUGGCGAGUGACUUGUUCGCUGUGGCGAGCUGCAAGGUGCAACUCGCGAGGCGAGGGGAAUUGCUCGCAAUGGCGAGCGUUCUGGUCUACGCUUGCGAGGCGAGUGGUACUGCUCGCUGUGGCGAGCGAUGAAUAACAGCUACGGGCAGAAUGCAGUUCUAUACGAAAAAUCAUCCAAACUUAUGGUUUUAAGCCUAACUUUGAUUCCUAUAAUCAUCUUAGGACUUAUCUAAGGUCUGUCAACAGUUUCUACAUCAAUCUAACAAUUUUCCACCGUUUAAUUCUCAAAUUCACCUUAGAACCCUAAUAUUCAUCUUCUCUAAAACUCAACCUAAUUCAUGUAAAAUCUAAUCCUUGAAUCAUAAACUUAAUAGAAUUGUAGAGUUAGUCUCACCCUUACCUUAAACAAGCAGAAAUCGCAGCUCUCCUCUCUUUGCCUCUUUCUCCCUUUUUCUCCAAAACUUGUACGUACGUUAUGUUUUUCUAAACUAGGUUUUCUCUAUUUAUCUCUCUUUCUAAUUCUUCUUAUUUUCUCUUUCUCCCACAAAACUCUCUAUGAUAACAAAACAACCCCCUCACUAAAUAUUUUAUUUUGUUUUCAAAUCUUAUUUUAUUAAACAAUAAAAUAAGUCAUCCCAUCUACAUAAAAUCUCACCAAAUCACAUCAUUAUAUAAUUCCUCUAAAAAUCACACAUAUUAUAUAAUUAUAAUAUAAACUCUUCUUAAUAAAUACUAGAUUCGAUUAAGUGAUUAAAUAUUCCAAGGAGGGCGUUACACGAGUAGCCAACUAUUCGAGUAUGUCCUUUAUCUUCAUAGAUGAGACCUUUUCCAGGAGCACCUUUGAUGUAUUUUAGAAUCCGGAUAACAGCAUCCAUGUGUUCUUGGCAAGGAGAAUUUAAGAAUUGGCUUACCACACUAACUGCAAACGAAAUUUCCGGACGAGUGACUGUAAGGUAAUUCAAUUUCCCAACCACUCUCCUAUACCUCCCUGAAUCAGAUAACGGCUCCCCCUGAUUGGGUAGAAGUUUGACAUUAGGAACAAUAGGAGUAUCAACUGGCUUGGCGUUCAAAAGACCUGUUUCUUCAAGAAUAUCCAUAGCAUAUUUUCGUUGUGAUAUUACUAGACCAUCCUUAGAUUGGGCUACCUCAAUACCCAAAAAAUAACGAAGUUUACCAAGGUCUUUUGUCUAAAACUGAGUUGAGAGAUGUUGUUUCAACUGGUGUAUUCCCUGCUCAUCACUACCAGUUAUGACAAUAUCAUCUACAUAAACAAUAAGAUAAAUGCAUCCUUGGGUUGAGUGACGAUAGAAAACAGAAUGGUCAGCUUCACUGCGCAUCAUACCAAAUUUUUGCACUACUGUGCUGAAUCUGCUAAACCAAGCUCUAGGAGACUGCUUAAGACCAUAAAGGGAUUUAUGUAGUCGACAUACCAUAUUAGAUGACUCCCCCUGAGCAACAAACCCAGGUGGUUGCUCCAUAUAGACUUCAUCUUCAAGAUCACCAUGUAAAAAAGCAUUUUUGAUAUCAAGUUGAUGGAGAGGCCAAUGUCAAAUGGCUGCAAUGCAGAGAAGAAGUCUAAUUGAUGCCAUCUUAGCAACAGGUGAGAAAGUGUCGCUAUAAUCCAACCCAAAAAUUUCAGUGUAUCCCUUGGCAACCAACCGAGCUUUGAAACGAUCAAUCUUACCAUCUGGACCAACCUUCACCAUAUAGAUCCACCGGUAACCUACCAAAGAUUUCCCAGGAGGGAGAGGAACCAGUUCUCAAGUACCACUGCUAUGGAGAGCACACAUCUCGUCAAUCAUUGCUUGCCUCCACUCAGGGUUAGAUAAUGCUUCACCUGGAGAUUUAGGAAUAGAAACAGAGGACAAAGAAGACAAACAUGUGUAAUGUAAAGGAGAAAGACGGUGAUAACACAAAUCAAUAUAAUGAGGAGACGGAUUACGUGUUGGACGGAUACCUUUACGCACAGCAAUGGGAAGAUCAGACUCAGACUCUGGCAGCGGGACCGAAUCUGGUGAUGGAAAUGGUGUCAGAGGAGAAUCUGCAAUGGCCUCUGAGAUAUUACCAGGUGUAGGAACAGGCACAAUAGAGGGUGGUUAACGACGGUGAUAAGUUUGUAAUGGGCGAGAUAGUGAGGGAUCAACUGUAGGUGGAACUAGUGGGAUAGACUCAUGGGGUUCAGGUGCAACAAUUGUAGGCGAACCAGGAAUAAUUUCUAGAAGAAGGGGUUCAAGAUGAAAUUCCUGAAGAGGUUCCAAAGUCAUUUGGUUCGACUCAAAAAAUGGAUCAGACUCGAAGAAGGUAACAUUAGCCGAUACAAAGUAUCGUUGUAAUGUAGGAGAGUAGCAACGAUAACCUUUUUGGGACCGAUGAUAACCAAGAAAAACACACUUGAGUGAUCGAGCUGACAACUUAUCAAGGCCAGGAGAGAGAUUGUGAACAAAACAUGUGGACCCGAAGACACGGGGAGGAAGUGGGUGAAGAGGGGAAUGUGGAAAAAUAAUCGAAUGAGGAAUUUUAUCAUCAAGGACAGAAGAUGACAUAUGAUUUAUAAGAUAACAUGCUGUUAAAACAGCAUCCCCCCAAAAUUGGGAUGAAACAUUUCCAUGGAGAAGUAGGGUCCUAGUGGUUUCAAUGAGAUGCCGAUUUUUACGUUCGGCUACCCCAUUUUGUUGAGGUGUAUGAGGACAUGAUGUUUGGUGAAGAAUACCAUUAGAAGCCAUAAAAUUUUGAAAUUGAUGGGACAAAUAUUCACGAGCAUUAUCACUUCUUAAAGUACGAAUAGACACACCAAAUGAGUUUUAAUUUCUCUAUAAAAUUGCUUAAAAAAGGGAAAGUGACUACGAGUGUGUUUCCCUAACUGACACGACUCACAAUUUAAAUUAGUUAACUUAGACAAAUUUGGCAUCAACUUCUGAAGCUUGGGAAGACUUGGAUGACCCAACUGAGCAUGAAUAAUAAGUGGUGAAGUUGUGGCAGAGCAUGUCGUGGAUGAUAAAGAGAGGUAGUAAAGGCCUUGAGAUUCAUGUCCGACGCCAAUCGUCCUUCCCGAAAUCCGAUCCUGCACGACAACAUUAUUUUUAGUAAAAGUAACAAUACAAUCAUGAGAACGAGUUGAACGACUGAUGGAAAGUAAAUUAAAUGGACAACUAGAUACGUAAAGAACAGAAGACACUGAGAGGGAAGGUAGUAUUUGGACAGUACCAACCCCUUGAGAUCGGGUUUGGGAACCAUUGGCAGAGGUUAUAACAGGUAAGAACCCAGACGUACAAAAAGAAGAGAAAAGACUUUUAUUACCAGUAACAUGGUCAGAAGCACCAGAAUCAAGGACCCAUGGACCAAUGGGGGAUGAUUGAGAGAAGCAAGCAGAUGAAUUACCGGUGUGUGCAACCGAAGCAGUAGAACUAGGAUUUGGAUUACUCUGACACCACCGGAGAAAAUCUUCGUAGCUGACCUGAGACCCCUGAGUUUUAGAUGUUGCUUGAAUAUUGUCAGAAGGAGAAUCUACAUGGGCCGUAUUCACUUGAGGCUUACCAUGCAACUUCCAACAGCGAUCAAUUUUGUGUCCGAAUCGAUUGCAAUGCUCACACUUGGGACGAGACUUGGAUGAACCUCCACGAGAGCGGUUCUGAUUAUUACCAAGAGAUCCAAGGGCAGCUGUAUCACCUAGGGAAGGAGUUCCAGAUGGCUCAGUGGAAUACUUUGCUGGCACUCGAAGAAGGAUAUAUGUGGCAAUAUCCAUAUCCGGAACAUCAACAGACGCCAAAAUUUGAUCCCGAAUGGAAGAGUACUCGGGCGGUAAGCCAUAAAGAGCUAGUAGCAUGAAGAAUGUGUUGUGUUGCUUACGCUCCUUCACCUUUUCAACAGGAUCACUGGCGGCAGGAGGGAGAAACUCAUUAAAUUCAUUAAGUGCAGUGUGAACAUUACCAAUAUAUGUAUUGAUAGACCCAUCUAUCGUCUUUGAAUGAAUGAUGUUCAUCAUUCGGUGGCAUACUCCAUAGAGACAUUGUAUGUCAUUGGUGUAGAGUUUCUUAGCUUGACUCCAAACAGACUCACACGUGACAUGAGGACGAAAGAUCGGUUUGAUGUCUGGAUGAAGUGUUGACUUAAUAACACUGCACAACUGAGCAUCAAUCUUCUUCCACAUUGAUUUCUCACUAACUGGUACCUUGUCAAUCGAUUUAGUGAGAUGUUCUUCAUAUUCUUGACCUUCAACCCACAGUUGUAUAUCACCAAACCAACUAUCGUAAUUUGAUCCGUUCAAUUUUUCAACUGAAAGGGGAGAUGUGAUGUAGUUGGUAAAUAUACUUUUGUUAGCAUCAGAGGUGGUACUUUUGACAGAUUCAGAACUGUUUGUUGGAGAAGUGCCAGAAGGAUUGUUUGUAUAUCACGUAAUUCCGUGAAUUGAAACUGAAAACUGACACCGGAUCUGGAAUCAGCGAGGAAUUUCGAGACCGGAGAGCGAAACAGCAACCAGAACAGAAGCAGCGUGGAGACGCGUGGGAGGUUGGUUGCGGCGGAGAUUUCGGUGACAGGCCGGAUUUGUCAAGGAGAUUCAGAUGGUGGGUUUGAUUUUAGGAAAAAUCGCCGGAAAAAGCAGCUAUGGCGGCAGCAGUGGUGGUUUGGAGAGGAAAGUGGGCAAACCGGAGUUGAAACACGGUUUGCCGAAAAAAUUUCUCACCGGAAGACAGUAGGUCAACCAGGUAUUCACGGUGUAGGGUUGUCUCUCAAUAGGCUCUAGAUACCAUGUUGAAUGACAGAGAAAAGAGAGACAUAUGCUGAAAUAACCGUGUGACUGAAUAGCACUACGGAAUGUCUAUUAUAUAGAGUUAAGUAGCUUGGAGACUAAGCUAUGAUAUAUUUACAAAAUAAAUAUUCUACAUAAUAUUCUAUCCUAAUUUACUUAGAGAAUAAGGAAAAUAUAUUUACAAUGUAAAUAUAAUAUUUACUAUUUAUUUAAUCAAUAAAUAUCAAGAGGACUUUUAGGGGAAUUGUCUUUACUAGAUUUUCUAGGCAUUAGCUCUUUUUCUUCCCUCCUUGCUGUUUUAGGAGGGUUUGUUUCUUUUUUGUUGGAUUUGUUUCUCUUUGGUUUUUUGUUUCUGAGACUUUUUGUAUGAGGUUCAAGCUGCACCUGAAAACAGUUAUUGAAUUUUUUAGCUUUAUCAAAAAAAAAAAAUAACCAUGAGUGUUUGAUGGUUUUGGAUGGACAUAGAGGACCUGUGAGAUGUUUGGCUGCUUGUCUUGAAAUGGAGAAAGUUGUUGUAGGAUUUUUGGUUUAUAGUGCAAGUUUGGACCAAACGUUUAAGGUUUGGAGGAUUAAGGUUUUUUCUGAGGAUGAGAAUGUGUGUUUGGAUGGUGAUAAUAAUAAGUGUGAUGGGAGAGUGAAGAAGAUUAGGGAGUAUGAUAUGAGUCCUGUUUUGUCACCUUCUUGGGUUGAGAAGAAACUUCAGGGUAGUAGUCCCUUUCAGUAAAGGUUAUAUUAUAAUAUUAUCUGUUUUUCGUAAUAUGUUCCUAUUAUUAUGUUCUUUUUUGUAAUAUGUUCCCAUUAUUAUUUGUAUGCUAACCAGGACCUCUUUUUCUUCCAUGAAUCCCAUCAACCAAAAUGGAACACAUUUUUAAUCUCACUCUUUUGAACUAUCUCUCUUUUAUUUGUUGAAAAUUAGAUAGAUUCUACCAAAUUUAAGCUCCAUCCACAAAUAAUAAGAUAAUUUAUAAUGAUGUCAACAAAGUAAUUGAUCAAUGAACAAUUGUACAGUCUUCUCCCCUAUAAAACAGAGGAGGCACAGCCCAUUAGAGAGAAACAUUCUAAAUCUCUCAAUAUGAUUUUAGCUGUACAUAUUAAAAAAAUAAAAAUAUACCUUUUAUCGUCCAAAAGUGAAUUUCCUAACAAAUUAUGCUUGUGUUUUUUUUUAUUGUAAAAAAAAUGCUUGUAGAAACAUAAAGGAUAAAAAGUAGUGCCCAAUUUGAAAUUUCUUUGCGGUAAUUCUAGAGAACCUUAGGCCUCCUAUGAAAAAUAUAGGACAAUGAGAUUUAUUUAUUUUUCUUAAUCCUAGGGUUCCUAAGAAAAAAGCUCUAGUAAUGUGAAUUUGUAAGUAAGUGAAGUUUGAUAAGGAUUGUUUUAACUAAAUUUUAAGCUUAGAUUGUUUAGAACAAACAGUUUGUUUUUAACUUAAAUUUAUUGAUCUCUUAACUUCAACCUCUUGAUUUAGGACCACAAUAUUAUAUACUAAAAGAGAGCAUUUGAUACUAUAUUUAAUUUUAUUUUUUUUAUAAAUGACUAAAAUUCCUUGACAAAAUUUAUGUACAUUUCUUUAGAUGAUUUUUGUGUGGUUCUUCCCAUAAAAUUUACUUUUUAUGUUUAUAACAAACUUUGAGAAAUUUGUAGAUUUGAAAAAUCAUUGUUAGUGAUGAGUAUUUUAUGUGAAGAAUCACAUGAAGAAUACCUAAGAAAAUGCACCUAAGUUUUGUCCUAAAAUUAAAAAUAUAUAUUGUUUCAACUAAAAUUCAAACUUGUCUCAAACAAACAAUUCAUUCUUAUCUAAAAUUCAUUAAUCAUUUAACUUCAACCCUUUGAUUUAAGGACAGAAAAAUAUAUAGUUAAAUGACUAAAACUAAAAGUAUAUAUUGAUUAUUGAUACUAAAAAGUAGAACAUACUUUAACUAUAUAUUUUUGUGUCCUUAAAUCAAAGGGUUGAAAUUAAAUGAUUAAUGAAUUUUAGAUAAGAAUGAAUUGUUUGUUUGAGACAAGUUGAAAUUUUAGUUGAAACAAUAUAUAUUUUUAAUUUUAGGACAAAACUUUAACUAAAAAGACUAUAAAGUAUGUUCUACUUCUUCAAUUUUAGAGAUAUCACUUAGCCUCUAUUAGUAUAAACAGCUUAAUUAAGUGCUUAUAACAUAAGCAUUUAUCAUUUUAAUUUCUUCAUAUUAUUUUCAUAUAAGCUGUUUCCAUAAGCUCUUCCAAACAUACUCAGAAGUGUUAAUGAAAGUAGAUAAGCUCAAAUAAGUCAAUUCAAAUGUGUGUGAAAUUUGACAGAUUCUACACUGAAUGCCUUGGCAUGAAGCUGUUAAGAAAACGUGAUAUACCAGAAGACAAAUACUCAAAUGCUUUUCUUGGAUACGGGCCUGAAGAUUCCAGUUUUACGGUUGAACUUACUUAUAGUAAGUUGAAAUCUUAAUGCUACUUUUUUUUUUGGCAAAAUCAUUAUGCAUAUCAUUUAUAUGUUUACCACUUACACAAAAUUGUGUCUCAUCAUAGUUGCUAUUUCGCGGUGAUUGCAGAUUAUGGAAUGGAUAACUAUGACAUUGGAACUGGUUUUGGUCAUUUUGGUAUUAUAGCUGAAGAUGUAAGCUCUUCAAAAAGAUAAUAAAGCAUUAUUGUCUAUCUUCAAUGCAAAGCAUUUAUCUGAUUUCUACUAUGCAUUUUUGAAUUCCCUUAUUAUGAUGAACAUUGAACGACAAGAAUCAAAGAGAGAAUUGAUCUGUAUGAAAGGAAAGACUAAACAAUUAAGACUAUUUUGGUUUUAUACUGCGAUUUUGCAGGUUUCCAAGACAGUAGAUAUUGUAAAGGCGAAAGGGGGAAAGGUUACAAGAGAACCAGGGUCUGUCAUAGGUGGCUCUAUAGUAACUGCUUCCGUUGAAGAUCCUAGUGGUUAUAGGUUUAAGCUUUUGGAGAGAAGAACUACUCGUGAACCCUUAUGCAAAGUGAUGCUUCGAGUAGGUGACCUUGAUCGUGUCAUAGCCUUCUAUGAAAAAGUGAGUGUAUUUAGUUAAUGUAAUUAUUAUGAUGGUUCUUUCUUCCUGCUUAGAUGCAAACACACGCAAGAGGCUAAAUGUUUUUCUUGUCUUUGUUAAUUUCAAAGGCUGUUGGCAUGAAACUUCUCCACAAGAUAGACAACCCUGAGGAAAAGGUAAACUACUUGUGGUUGUUAAUCAGAUGCAUGGCUAUCCGUGUUCCUGGCAUUACUGUUUUGAUUGAUGUUUGUAAUAUAUGCAUAAUAAAGAUUAUGAUUGUUCUUUUGUCAUUGAUUAUGAUUGUUUUUCAGUACACAGUAGCCAAGUUGGGAUAUGGUCCUGUUCUAGAACUGACGUAUAACUACGGCGUCACUAAUUAUGACAAAGGAAAUGGCUAUGCACAGGUAUAUUCUAUUCUUUUUCUAUUUUCAGAAGAGGGUUUUAAUAAUUAUUACAUGGUCCUCCAUGAAUGUAUAAUGCAUGUCGUUAUAAGAAUGUGGCUAUUUUGUACAGAUUGCUAUAGGCACGGAUGAUGUCUAUAAGACUGCAGAAGCAAUCAAAUCAUGUGGAGGGAAGGUUAUCCGCGAACCUGGACCCUUACCUGGUAUCAACACCAAGAUCGUUGUUUGCUUGGACCCUGAUGGUUGGAAAUUGGUAUGGCAUUUUUCAAUCUUUUCCUUGUAUUUGAUGUAAUAUGUUCUUUGAAACCUUCCUACUGUGUUAACCUCUCUAUGUCGCUCAUUGUUUAUGUCACUGAUGUUGGUCCCACCACGUGGGGUAUGUUCCAGCCAAAAGGAAAAUUGCAACAAGCAAUUGUCAAAUUCUUCUACACAUUAAAUGCAUGGCUUAGUUUUUCCUUUCAAAUAGUUUGGCUAUGUAUAGGUUGUGCAGAGAACACACAUAGCUUGCGGUGGAGCAGUUUGAAAGCAUGACAUAAAAUAUAGUUUUCACACAUUAAGGACAUGACUUUGGUGUGAAAGGAGGGCAUAGCAUUUAACUCUUCAUCAGCCGAUUUCCCCUAUAAAUAGAGGGGUACUUGAAGGAAUGAAAUCAAUGAAGCAGAAGUGAAAAUACAAAGUUUCUGUGUGUGUAGAAGUGUGUGAGAGGAAAAAUAGAGUGUUGAGUAAAUCCAGAGAGUGUGGGAAAAAUACACCGGGUGGGUAUCAUCUCUAUAACUUCUAGGUGCUAUAAAAUAAUAGCAUUAGAAUAGAAGUAGGUCUCACGGGAAACACUAUAUUGUAUCUCUUGUGUGUGUGAGAGAGUGGAGAGAAUAUUGUAAUAUUCUUUAAUAUAGUGGAAUAUUUUUCGGAGUUUGUCCCGUGGUUUUUCCCUCGGUAUUAGAGGGUUUUCCACGUUAAAUAUUGGUGUUCAUUUUUUUUAUCACUACCGCUGCGCUGCAAGAUCCAGUCUCUUUUGGAUUUUGGAAUUUUAAUUUACACUUGCGUUAAGCUCGUCGAGCCCAACAAGUGGUAUCAGAGCUCCGGUUGGAGCUUGAGAGUAUAGUGUAAAUUAAAUGGAGGAGAAAACUGGUAACACUGGUACGAUGAUUAAACUCACUUCUACAAACUACUCCAUUUGGAAGCCAAAAAUGGAGGAUAUACUUUACUACAAGGAUAUGUAUGAUCCUGUAGAAAAGGGAGACACGAAGCCAGAUAAGGUGACGGAUGAAGACUGGAAAAAGUCUCAUCGGAAGGUUGUCAGUCUGAUUAGGCAGUGGGUGGAUCUUAGUGUAUUCCACCAUGUGGCCACAGAGACAAAUGCCCAGACUCUGUGGAAGAACAUCGAAAAGAUGUAUCAAAGAAAGACCGCACAAAACAAAACUUUCGCUAUAGAAAGUUGGUGAAUCUAAAGUACCGAGAGGGAAGAUCAGUUGCCGAGCACUUGAGUGACUUUCAAGACUUGGUAAACCAAUUGGUUGCCAUGAAGUUGGUGCUGGAUGAUGAAUUACAAGCACUAUUACUUUUGAGUUCUUUGCCAGAAAGUUGGGAGACUUUGGUGGUGUCAUUAAGCAACUCUGCUCCAGAUGGAGCGCUCACUUUGUCCCAGGUAAAAGAUAGUAUGUUCAAUGAAGAAACAAGAAGAAAAGACAUGGGAUCAAGUAGCUCUCAGGCCCUUGUCACGGAGAACAGAGGCAGAAGCAAGAGCGGGGGGAGAUCCAAUAAAUCCAAAGACAGAUCACAAUCUCAACCUCGAAGAAAGUUCAAGUGUUUUCACUGCGGCGAAGAAGGUCACAUCAAAAGAAAUUGCAAAUCUUGGAAGAACAAAGAAAAGAAGGACCGGAGGAAUCAAAGACCAGACGAAGAUGAAAAUACCACAACCCCAGUAGUUGAUGGGGAAGUGGUGUUGCUUUCUGUUGAAGAAGAAGAAUGUCAUGUUGCAGAUUCAUGUGUUGAAUGGGUCAUUGACUCAGCAGCUUCUUAUCACGCUACUUCCAAUAAAGAAUUCUUUACAAUGUACAAAGUAGGAGACUUUGGCAAAGUAAAGAUGGGCAAUAAUAGCAUUGCAGAUAUUGUUGGAAUUGGUGAUGUGUGUGUUCAAACCAAUACCGGUUUUACACUAACACUGAAGGACGUGCGACAUGUGCCAGAUUUGCGUCUAAAUCUAAUCUCUGUCCAUGCUCUUGAUUUAGCCGGAUUUCAAAACAACUUUGGUGAUGGAAAAUGGAAACUUACCAAAGGAUCGUUGAUGAUUGCUAGAGGCGUCGUGUAUUCGACGCUUUACAAAACUCAAGUCAAGCUGAUCAAAGAUGGCUUGAAUGCGGUCGAGAAUGUUGCUUUGCCAGAUUUGUGGCAUAAAAGGCUGGCUCAUUUAAGUGAAAAAGGAUUGCAAAUUUUGUCAAGGAAGUCCCUCAUUCCGUCUGACAAAGGUACUAAGUUGAAUCCUUGUGAUUAUUGUUUGUUUGGCAAGCAACAUAGAGUUUCUUUCAGCAGAACUUCAAAGCUGAAAGAUAAUAAAUUGGAUAUGGUGUAUUCUGAUGUGUGUGGACCCAUGGAAGUGGAGACUCUUGGUGGUAGCAGAUAUUUUGUGACGUUUAUUGAUGAUGCUUCAAGAAAGGUGUGGGUGUACUUCCUUAAAAGUAAGGAUCAGGUGUUUCAGUACUUCAAAAGGUUUCAUGCGAUGGUGGAGAGAUCGACUGGUAAAUCUUUGAAGUGUCUUCGUUCGGAUAAUGGGGGUGAAUAUACUUCCCAUGAAUUUAAAAGUUAUUGUUCUGAGCACGGCAUCAGACAUGAGAAGACGGUUCCUGGCACCCCACAACAUAAUGGUGUAGCUGAAAGAAUCAACAGAACCAUUAUGGAGAAAGUGAGAUGUAUGCUGAAAAUGGCUAAGCUGCCAAAGCCAUUUUGGGGAGAAGCUGUUCAAACCACAUGCUACCUGAUUAACAGAUCUCCAUCUGUUCCUUUGGGCUUUGACAUUCCUGAGAGAGUAUGGUCCGGACAUGAUAUAAGUUACUCUCACCUGAAGGUAUUUGGAUGCAAAGCCUUUGCUCAUGUAAAUAAGGAGCAUAGACAAAAACUUGAUGAUAAAGCCAUUCCUUGCAUAUUUGUGGGCUAUGGAGAUGAGGAAUUUGGCUACAGGUUAUGGGAUCCAGAGAAGAGAAGAAUUAUUAGAAGCAGAGAUGUAGUGUUUCAUGAGCAAGAAACUAUGUCAGAUUCUGCUAUUCUAGAAACACCUAAACGUUAUGGUAAGGUUGAUCUUACACUUACCACUCCUCCUGUAAGAGUUGCCACAGAAGGGGGAGAUCUUGAUGAAGACCCUGGGGUUGAUGGUGAGCCAGUAGUUGAAGAUGGUGAUGAUGAAGAUGUUCAAGAUGGAGAGCAAUCCACAACAUCUCAUCUCAGGAGAUCAAGCAGAGAUCAUCAUCCAUCUACCAGGUACCCUAGUUCGGAGUACAUCCUCAUCACUGAUGAGGGGGAGCCGGAAAGUUUCGAUGAAGUUCAAACUCAUAAGGAUAAAAUCCAAUGGAUGAAAGCAAUGCAAGAAGAGAUGGAUUCAUUGCAGAAAAAUGAUACUUAUGAACUUGUGAAACUUCCUGAAGGCAGAAAAGCCUUGAAGAAUAAAUGGGUGUUCAAGCUCAAGAAAGAUGGUGACAAGCUAGUGAAGUACAAAGCUCGCUUAGUCGUAAAAGGUUUUGGACAAAAGCGAGGAAUAGAUUUUGAUGAAAUCUUCUCUCCAGUUGUUAAGAUGAGUUCAAUUCGAGUUAUACUCGGAUUAGUUGCUAGCUUGGAUUUGGAGCUUGAACAAAUGGAUGUAAAGACUGCAUUUCUUCAUGGAGAUUUAGAUGAAGAGAUCUACAUGGUUCAACCAGAAGGAUUUGAGAAGACUCGAAAGGAGCACUUGGUUUGCAAAUUGAAGAAGAGCUUGUAUGGAUUAAAACAAGCACCAAGACAAUGGUAUAAGAAAUUCGACUCGUUCAUGAUGAGUCAUGAAUAUACCAAGACAGAUGCAGAUCAUUGUGUAUAUGUCAAAACAUUUCGAGGUAACAAAUUCAUCAUCCUUCUGUUAUAUGUAGAUGAUAUGUUGAUAGUGGGGCAAGACGAGGAUAUGAUUGGUGAUUUGAAGAAGGAAUUGUCAAAAUCCUUUGACAUGAAAAAUCUAGGCCCUGCAAAGCAAAUCUUAGGCAUGAAGAUUUUGCGAGACCGAAAAGCUAGAAAGCUAUGGUUGUCACAACAACAGUAUGUGGACCGGGUUCUAGAAAGAUUCAACAUGAAGGGUGCUAAACCAGUUAGCACACCGUUAGCCAAUCACUUUAAACUCAGCAUAGUGAGUUGUCCUACUAGUCAAGAUGAAAAAGAAGCUAUGGUUGCAAUACCUUACUCCUCAGCAGUUGGGAGUUUGAUGUAUGCAAUGGUUUGCACCAGGCCAGAUAUUGCUCAUGUAGUUGGAGUUGUUAGCAGGUUUCUUUCCAAUCCGGGAAAAGAACACUGGGAAGCUGUGAAGUGGAUCUUGAGGUAUCUGAAAGGAAGCUCUAAUAAGUGCUUAUGCUUUGGAGGAUCAAAUUCGAUUUUGAAAGGCUACACAGAUGCGGAUAUGGCAGGUGACCUGGAUGGUAGAAAGUCUACUUCAGGAAUUGUGUUUACUUUUGCAGGGGGAGCUGUAUCUUGGCAAUCUAAAUUGCAAAAAUGUGUAGCCUUAUCAACAACCGAGGCAGAAUAUAUUGCCAUGGCUGAAGCAGGGAAGGAAAUGCUUUGGCUAAAAAGAUUUCUUGAUCAAUUGGGAAUGAAGCAGGAAAGGUACGUUAUCCAUUGCGAUAGUCAAAGCGCUUUGGAUUUGAGUAAGAAUGCGAUGUACCACUCUCGUACAAAGCAUAUUGAUGUCAGAUAUCAUUGGUUGCGUCAAGCAGCGGAAGAACAACAAUUUAUGUUGGAAAAGAUUCACACCGAUAAAAAUCCCGCAGAUAUGUUGACGAAAGUUGUAGCACGUGAAAAGCUUCAACUUUGUGCCGAGUUGAUCGGCAUGGAUCGCCGGUGAAUGAAUUGCGAGGAUAUCUCCCUUUGGCUGGAGGGGGAGAAUUGUUGGUCCCACCACGUGGGGUAUGUUCCAGCCAAAAGGAAAAUUGCAACAAGCAAUUGUCAAAUUCUUCUACACAUUAAAUGCAUGGCUUAGUUUUUCCUUUCAAAUAGUUUGGCUAUGUAUAGGUUGUGCAGAGAACACACAUAGCUUGCGGUGGAGCAGUUUGAAAGCAUGACAUAAAAUAUAGUUUUCACACAUUAAGGACAUGACUUUGGUGUGAAAGGAGUGCAUAGCAUUUAACUCUUCAUCAGCCGAUUUCCCCUAUAAAUAAAGGGGUACUUGAAGGAAUGAAAUCAAUGAAGCAGAAGUGAAAAUACAAAGCUUCUGUGUGUGUAGAAGUGUGUGAGAGGAAAAAUAGAGUGUUGAGUAAAUCCAGAGAGUGUGGGAAAAAUACACCGGGUGGGUAUCAUCUCUAUAACUUCUAGGUGCUAUAAAAUAAUAGCAUUAGAAUAGAAGUAGGUCUCACGGGAAACACUAUAUUGUAUCUCUUGUGUGUGUGAGAGAGUGGAGAGAAUAUUGUAAUAUUCUUUAAUAUAGUGGAAUAUUUUUCGGAGUUUGUCCCGUGGUUUUUCCCUCGGUAUUAGAGGGUUUUCCACGUUAAAUAUUGGUGUUCAUUUUUUUUAUUGCUACCGCUGCGCUGCAAGAUCCAGUCUCUUUUGGAUUUUGGAAUUUUAAUUUACACUUGCGUUAAGCUCGUCGAGCCCAACAACUGAUUGACUUAUUUAUUACUUCUUGCAGGUAUUUGUUGAUAAUGUUGAUUUUCUGAAGGAACUAGAGUGACAAUAGCAUGGUUGUAGCUAGAUCCUACACUUCUUCAGUAAACUUAUAGUAGGCUACUAGGCCAACAAUUUUUUCAGAAAAAUCUUAUAACUAUAAAAAGUCCCUCCAAUCACUAUAUAUGAGGGGGGAAGGGAAGAAAAAAAAAACAUAUUUACAGCAAUCACAAUUUCAUCCUUAUUAUUUUUUAGUAGGCGCGGCAAUUCAACAUGCACUGGAUUCCCUCUAACCAUAACUGUUUGUCUUCUUUACUUCCGCAUUCAAAUUCUAUUAAUCUAUCUGCUGUUUUUAUUCCAAAAUAUGCUCUCUUUUUGCCGUUGCCUUUUCCCUUCCGGGCCAAGCUGGGAUAUCGCUGCACACUCCGGUGACUAUAUCUGUCAUUUUAUAGGCCAUACCUUAACAUUGCUUACAGUAACAAAGAGUAAAAUAAGUAAGUUUUGCAUACUGAAACUUGGCUUACAUUUCUUCUUUUUUGUGAAUGUUCCUGCAAUAUGCUUGCUUUUCAUUUUGGCUACUACCUGUAGUCAUUGUGUUGAAUAGAUAUUUCAAAUAAUUAUAUAAUUGAGAUAUAGAUGCUACCAAUAACUCAUGUGUGUGAUUUGUUAAUGAAUGUAGGAGUGUCUUCAAUUAAUUACCUGCAAAUUUGAAUUAAUAUUGAAAGAGACUUGCUUCCAGUGAAGAACUCCUGUUAUGGACAUUUAAAAUAGUAUUGUACUUACAUUAGAAGCGUAAACUGAUUUAUACAUUUGGUAUUCUUCUUUUAUUCUUAAAUUUCAAUGAAGUCAUUGUUACAAACAUGGCAGUAGACACUAGACAUACCUUUUCUUGUAUGUUUGAGAAGUACUCCUCCUCUAAAGACACAGUCCAGUGCUGUCAACAUGUUUGCUUCUUUGGCUUCACCGCACUUCUCCUCAACUGUUGGAAUCGUAGUAGCUCCAAGCCCUUUCUCCAUACGUGCCUUCAAAGUAGCAGCUCCUCGCAAUGCUGCCAUUUAGUUCAUUAUAUUUUCUCUUAUUUUGUGGUAGAAUUUGUUUGACAGAAUCAAUAGAAAUGAACUCAGAUUGUAGGUUUUAGCUCGAACUUUCAUACCAUUACGUUGCUCAUACUUAAUUGUUCUUUCUUUUUAUUCUCCUUUGAGCCAUUAAAACUGGUCUGGUGUUUGAUUUUUACAUUGAAUGUAAAUAUACCAAAUUUUGCUUUUAGUCCCUGUAAUUUUUCUUGUUUUGUUUUUAGUUUGUGUAAAUAUAUCACUUUUUCCUUUUGAUCCUUGAUUUUUUUAAUCCCUACAAAAUUUGUUCAUUGGUUUUUGUAAUAUUCAUUUUAGUUCUUAUUUUGAGAUUAAAAUCAAAUACUCCACAAAUUACAGGGACCAAUUUAAACAUGAAUAAAUUUUGCAAGGACUCAAACAAAAAAAACAAGGACGAAAAGCAAAAAUUGGUAUAUUUGCAGGGACUGAAAACAAAAAAUAUAUAUAUUUUUACAAGAAUUAAAAGCAAAAAUUGAUAUAUUUGCAGAGACCAAAAACAUAGUUAAACCUAUCGAAAUUAAAAAAUAAAUUAAACUGUUGGUAAACAAGGUUCAAUUUUGUUUCAGAUGAAUAAAUCAACUUUAAAUUCUGAUACCUGUGGCUGCUCCGGCUGUUAGAGUCAUAAUAUCUCCAUUGGUUUUUGCAUUAAUAGCAGAGUCAACUGCUGUUAUGAUUUGGUCCUGUUCAGCUCCCAUAUCUUCUGCAAUCUCAAUGCAAUGAGAGGCUACUAGAGCUGUGGCAGAUGCAAUUGCAGCAGAAGCCAUGGUAGGGUUCUUUUGGUUGGGAUUAGGCUUUUCGGAUGAUGCUAUUGAAGCCGCAACUGCUGCAACAGCGGCAGCAACACCAACUACAGAUACUGUGGCGUGCAACUGAGCAUUAUGAGUCCUGAUUUCCUGUUUUUUCCUCUCCUUCUGAUCUUUCAACCACCUACCCGUAGUCCUCCCUCUUAUUAAGCUCCUGUAAAGCUGAUGAGCAAAAAUUUGCACAAAAAAUUAACGAAAAUAGUUACAGAUUGAGCAUUUAUCUGAUUAUAAUUGAUGAAUAUAAUCACAUGUUGAAUGCAAGAUACCCCAUUUCUCAGCAAGUUUUGGCUGGAAAGGAAUUCUGGAGAAAGUGCUUGGUGAAGUAAAAAUAAAUCCUGCAUAUGAAUGAUUACUGUUAUUUCAUUUAUAUAUACCAAAGAUUUAAUCGCUGUGCAAAAUUAUUUCUUGUGCUUUAUGAUUAUAUUCAUGAACCACACAAGUUUAACAUGAGUAGUAAGUAAAGUAAAUACCUUUGUUUCGCUACUGUCUCUUGGCGAAAUCUGAUGAGAAUGUCCGUCAGAUAGCUGCUAAACAUAACUUGUAUCAGAAGUUCAGAACCAAUACAUAGAAGGAACUCCAUAGAUUCAGUUGGGGUAUCAGGUGCAGCGCAAGAUGAUGCAGGCCUAUCUACAGGAACAUUCUCAUCUAUGUUCUCCAGCUGAUUAACUGAGCAUUUAGAGACUGAGUUCACUGUCAUUGAAAUUAAUCACAGAAAAUGAGUUAAAUAUUUUCAUGAGAAUGGACCUUGAACAUAAGAAUUAAAAGUAGUUUGGUUUCAUUUUUGUUCAUAUUAAGUAGUAAUGUUGAAAUGGAAAACAACUUUCUCUCUUUUACCAAUUUUAACACUCACUUGUAAAGAUGAAUGAAUACCCUAAAGCUUCAAUCACUCAAGAGACCAAUAUGAUGAGAGAACUUAUGAGCAAUAGUUAGAUAUUUAAAAAGAAAACGUGAUGUUGUACCAACGUGCUUUAUAUUUGCCAACGUAGGUUGGUCCAGCUGGUAAGGAGUUGACUCAUACCCUACAAAGAUGUGGAUUCAACUCCACUUGUCAGUGUUAUGACCUCGGUGGACAAUCUAAAAGUACUUUUGUAAACGCUCUGAGACAUGAGGCAUAUCUGUCUCUGACAAACCUCCAAAAUCAAAUUCAGUAUUAUUUUGCCUGAACAAAAAAAAUAGUGCUUUUUAUUUAGGAUGAUAAAAACAACAUAAAAGAAUCUUAGUGAUGAACAAAAGGACCCAAUUGAAAGGCCAUUUAUAUUUGACUCCACUUUAGUUGUAUCUUUUCAUUUCCACCUCUCAGUGCUUUAUGCAUAAAGAGUUAAAGACCUGUUUUUAUGGCAGCGGAGUUCAUCAUUAUAGGAUUAUUCUUUGUCACCAUUAUCAUUUUUUAAAGUAGAAUUUGGGGACCCAUUUAUAUGCACACGCGCUAUUUCUUUAGUUUAUUGUUUUACAGAAAUAUCUAUAAACUUCUAUGAGUUUAACAUAUGUACAUUUGUGCCUGCUAACUCAGCAUUUUACCUUGCUUUAAGAAAAAACAACUCAACAUUUUACCUCACCAUUGACAAUGUCAUUCUGCAAUCUGCCCCACAUCACUCCUUUUUUGUCGACUAAAGAAAAUGACUGUUCUGGACAGGGCCUAGGCUCAAUCCAUAAGAAACUUGACAUAACGCAAACAACCUAACCAAGGGUCAAAGCUUCUUCAACAAGUCAAUAACGGCUCGCAAGGACAACGACCGAAACAAAGGCGGGGACAAGGGCGAAUAUUAAGGAGACGUAAAAACUGUUACAAAUUCAGUCGUUAAACGCUCAACUCUUGGAAAUCUCCUCAGGGCAACUAUAAGAACCACAUGAGAUGGAGAGAAAGGUACACACUUUCUCUAUUCCAUGUAUCUCUUACUUCCGCUUCGUUUACUUACAUGGAUGUCGGAGUGUUUGCAGGUACUUCCCCAUCAACAUACUUGAAAUACUGCUCAACCGUCUUCCACGGAGCCAACUUCUCGAUCCAGUUCAGAUCAAUGACAGAACGAUUCUUUCCUUCUUUACCUCAUUAUCUUUAAUUUUGUUACUCUUUUUUUUGUUGAAAGAUUUAAUUUUGCUAUUCGUUUAUUGGAGUGGGAAAGAACAUGCAUAAAUAAUUUUGGUUUUUUUGACAGUGUAUAAACAAUGGUUAGAUUACUGCAAUUUGUCAUAUUAAGAGUUCAGUCAGUUGGUAAUCCUUUAAGAAAGGAGGUUUUAAAUUGCAUUAUGACAUGAUUCUUGAUAUCAUAGACAAUUAUGGAAAAGUAGGGCUGAUGCAAGAAAGGAUUCCUUGGUGAAAUUAUUGUCAAGUGGAAUAACAAAUUAGAGAGUUGAUUAGAGAGUUGCUUGCUAUGAAUUUCUCCCAUUCUAACUACCACGAGAAUGUUGAUUAGAAAUUAGAAUAACAUCAAGUCCAAGAUGACAAGUCUAAGUGUCUAACUGUCUAAGUAGCUAUCCAAUACCAAAUUCAACAAAAUAUUUGUUUCAAAUAUGAAUAAUUUAGUUGGGAAACGGUUACAAUCAAAUUGAAUGCUAGAGAACCUAACUGUACACGUGAAAAGACAAACAAAUUUGUGUACUAAAUGCUUGAAAGAAAAUCAAAAGGAAGUUAAAUAAUGUCUAAUACAAAAAUAAGAAGGGUUAAUAGUGUUUUACCCCCUCUAAUAUAGGGCACUUUUGGUUUUGCUCUCUGUAAAAAAAUAAAUUUAGAUUUCGUCCUCGUAAAAUCAAGAUUCUUCAUAAUUGCCCCCUGAGCCAUCUUUUUCUCUCUAUUUCAAUCUAAAUAAGUGAUUUUCACAAGGAUCUAAGUUUUUUUCUUUGUGAUUUCACCAUCUAAGUGUGGUGGUUUGUUGUUCGUAGUCUUGUGCGUGUUGUUUGAUUUUCUGUCUUCAUGCGGUGUUCAUUUGAUUCAUAUUGAAAGAUCGACUAUUCAAUCAAAGAUUUUGGCGUCAACGUUGCAGAACCGGAGACCAUGGAUAUUCCGGUCACUUUAAUUUUAUCAAAUUUUUUGUAGGCAUUAUGUAACACCCCGUUUUCCCAAAAUGAAAAUUUCUCAUAACAAUCAGAGUAAAACACCUUAAACGGAAUGCUACACUUCUUUCAAACGUAAAUAUAGUAAAAUUACUAUUCAUUUUCAAUCGUUUUAUAAUACCAAAUUAAAUCUCAAUGCAACGGAAAAUAUCUUAAUAAAACAUCAUGUUGGCACAACGGCUUCAACUUAACAACUUAUUAAAAUCCAAACUAAAUAGUUCUUCAACAUAAAAAUCAUAGCAAGUACGUAACAUAUGGAAAACAAGUAAGAUCCCCAUCCCGUUACGUAUCAGAGCGACUCCUACGACGACACAAGAAAUCAACUCACUUCAGCGGUUACUCCUGAUUAUCUGCACGUUACCCACAGUCGAGGCAACAUUCAAACAGAAGGGGUGAGAUUUCCCAUUUCAAUAAUAAUAAGCAUAUAAUACAAAAAUGUGCAUUUAACAACCUAAACUUCAUCAAUUAAUACAUUAACUCUUCUUAUAAGAAUUCAUUAAUAACUCAACGAAUUUCUAAUCAUUAUUAACUUCAUAUUCAUCGCAUUGUAUACAUCAUCACAUAGCACAUAAUAAUCAAAACAUGACCGUCAUCAUAUAACAUCAUAAAUCAUCACAUCAUAUACAUCAUAACAUAAGCGGCAACAUAUUCAUCAAUAUCCCAUAGUUUGUUAUUAUCAACAACUUCAACGAUUCGACACAACAACGUCAACCUGACAACACAGCUACGUGAGAGUACACCACCUCUUAUCAUACGACAACGUUAGAGUACACCACCUCUCACAAUACGAUAACGUAAGAGUACACCACCUCUUAUCAUACGACAACGUAAGAGUACAUCACCUCUCACAAUACAAUAACGUAAGAGUACACCACCUCUCAGAAUACGACAACGUAAGAGUACACCACCUCUUAUAAUAUAACAAUGUAAGAGUACACCACCUCUUAAAGAAUAAUAACGUAAGAUUCCAAUACUUUGGAAAGAUAACUUACAACUUAGACCAACACCUGCAAUUUGAUCAAUAUACAACAGCAACAUAGGCAACACAUAAACGUCUCAAGAUAUAACAUCAUCAAAUGAUAAUCAACAUCAACUUAAACAUCUCAUAUGACUCGAUAGUUUGGAUCAACAUCUUACAACUUAAGCAACUUAGACCAACAUUAGCACCUUAAUGAUAUUAAUACGUCACAACAACAAGUUAGCAUCAACAAUAAUCAUCAAUAUAACCAUUACAACGGUCAUUUAGCAUCUUUCACAAUAUAUAAAUAUUUUCACAUUUAACCAUCAACUUAAAACAACAACGUUAAUCAUCUUAUUCAUACUCUCUGAACCUCAUUAUAAUCCUACCCCAAGAGUCGACUCAUAACAUCACGUGCGACAAAAGAUCGCAAGAACCUAAAACAGGGUAUGUUGUAACUGGACAAUUUCGCUAAGACCUCCUUGGCGUAUUUUCAUCAUAACUCAAAAACCAAGAAUCAUUUUCAAGUCACACCAAAGCCACUGGAAAGCUAACACACUUAUCUACAACUUUCAUGUUAACACCUAAGACCAAUUCUGUACCAAUCAAUACCAGUUUUUAUUUCAAAUUCGGGAAAAGUUGUGCUGAAAUUCCUAAAGAUUCACUGUGACCUACGUUCAAUAAUUUGACCAUAACUCAAGUUCUAUAAAUCCUUUUGACGUCAAACCAACGGCAUUAGAAAGCUAACAUCCAUACCUACAACUUUCGUGAAGACUCCUAAACCCAGUUCAGACCUUAAACUUGUCAAACUGAGACAAUAAAAACGCGUUUUGCACACUGACAGCAAAAUCGCAGUUCAGCUGCGAUUUCGCCUUGGGGAAAUCUUUUCGACUUCGUUUUCGAUCCAAUACUUUCCAAACUUGACCCUAAUCAUUACCCUAUGAUUAACCUAUCAUUAGAACACCAAUUAUUCAUCAACCUACUGUAUGCAAAUUCAAAAGGUUCUCAAAUCUAUUAACAACCUAUUACAAUUCUUAAACCUUAAUUCUCAAAUUCUCAAAACUACAACCUAGAAACAAGUUAAAACCAUGAAUCACAAUCAUACACUUAGAAUUAAAGAAAGUUACUCCCACCCUUACCUUAGGUUAGUCGAUUGGCGGUCUCUUCUAUUGGUUCUUCUCUUCUCUUCUCUUCUCUCACUUCUCACUUUCUCCCUUUUACUCCAAAAACGGGUUUCACGAAAUCCUUCUUUUCUAAUUCUAACUCUCCCUUUUUACAUAAAUCUUUAACCUACUUAUUUUCUCUUAUUUUUAAAUCUUCCCUCCAAGUCUCAAUAUUCUAUUCUAAUAUAUAUAAAUUACUUCCAUAAUAAAUAUCAAAUAUAUUUCUAUAGCAAAUAAAAAGUAUAUUUUUACACCAAAUAACACAUAUAUUUCUAUAACAAAUAUAUUUCUAUAGCAAAUAUAUCUUCACACCAAAUAACAAAUAUAUCUUCACACCCUCAGAUUCGUUACUAAUUCUAUUAUAACUAUUCGGCUCUACUAUUUACACCUCAUUCUAUUUAUUUAAUUAAUACACUACUCAACUUACUUACUUAAACCUCAGUUUUACUAAUACGUCUCUAUUCUCUUAUCUCCUAUAUUUCCACUAAACUCUUCUAAAUUCUAAAACAGCCCCACAUCUCAAUAUUAUUUCUAUUUUCAAGACUUAUUAUAUUUAAUAAUAAAAUAACACUACUUAAUAAAAUAACGACACACCACAUAAUCAUUUAAAUCACAUAAAUACUAAAAUAAACCACUUAAUAAAUCACAUAAUCAUAAAUAUAUUCUAAACCUAUUAAAACAAUCGAAUAAAUCAAAUAAUUCAAAGAGGACGUUACAGUCUGUACACAGUUUCUACAUCAAUCUAACCAUUUUCCACCGAUUAAUCAACAAUCUCUCACUUUAACCCUAGUUUUCAAAUUCUCUAAAAUCAAUCCUACACCAGUUAAAUUUCAAUUUCAGAAUCAUACACUUAGAAUUAGAGAAAGUUACUCCCACCCUUACCUUAGUAUUGAUGAUCGGCGGUCUCUCUCCCUCGUGGUUCUUCUCUUCUUCCAAAAAGCAGUUUCACGUAAAAACUCUUCUAACCUAGUUUCCUCCUUAUAUCUAGCCUCAAUCCACUUUAACUUAUUUCCUCUAUUUCCACUAUCAAUAAAAUAUCAACACAUCACCUAACCACAUAGAAUCACAUAAAUCAUCAAAGUGGAUUCUAUAAAUAAUUAAAGAGGGUGUUACAACUCUCCCCCCUUAUAGAAUUUUCGUCCUCGAAAAUACAGAGCACCAGAGAAAUUGAAUCUAAUUAUUGCUUAAAUAUCUUAAACUAUAUAUAACAAAAUAGAAACUUCAAACAAAACAUACAAACCACAUUAAGGUUAAUCAAUCAAACAUGAUCACAUAAUAAACAUAGCUAUUAAUCAGGAAACAGAACGACAAUCAAGACAACAUAAGACAGUAUUACAACUGCUACUCAACAAGACACGACUCGACUCAACUACUUGGCCGGACGGACCAACCUGCUCUGAUACCAAUUGUAACACCCUGUUUUCCCAAAUUGAAAAUUUAUCAUAACAAUCAGAGUAAAACACCUUAAACUGAAUGCUACACUUCUUUCAAACGUAAAUAUAGUAAAAUUACUAUUCAUUUUAAAUCGUUUUAUAAUAUCAAAUUAAAUCUCAAUGCAGCGGAAAAUAUCUUAAUAAAACAUCAUGUUGGCAAAACGGCUUCAACUUAACAACUUAUUAAAAUCCAAACUAAAUAGUUCUUCAACAUAAAAAUCAUAGCAAGUACGUAACAUAUGGAAAACAAGUAAGAUCUCCAUCCCGUUACGUAUCAGAGCGACUCCUACGACGACACAAGAAAUCAACUCAGUUCAGCGGUUACUCCUGAUUAUCUGCACGUUACCCACGGUCGAGACAACAUUCAAACAGAAAGGGUGAUAUUUCACAUUUCAAUAAUAAUAAGCAUAUAAUACAAAAAUGUGCAUUUAACAACCUAAACUUCAUCAAUUAACUCUUCUUAUAAGAAUUCAUUAAUAACUCAAAAUAUGACCGUCAUCAUAUAAUAUCAUAAAUCAUCACAUCAUAAACAUCAUAACAUAAGCGACAGCAUAUUCAUCAAUAUCCCAUGGUUUGUUAUUAUCAACAACUUCAACGAUUCGACACAACAAUGUCAAUAGACAUGGAUGCCAUCAAGGUAAACAUCAAAAUUCCAUCUCGUUCUAGUUGCUUCAGCUGCUUAGUAGACAAGAACUCCACUCCACUUUCUUCUUCAGCAGAGGAGGAGGACACCGAAUUGCUAAAACAGUUGAUAAGAACAUGGUUGUACUCUAACCAGUUCAUACCAAGAAUCACAUUCAUUCCACUCAAAGGUAAACAAACUAAAUCCAUUUCAAAAUCACGAUCAAACAAAGACAAAGGACAUCUCAAACAUACGAGAGAAGUAGUAACCGAACCUUUAGCUGG
Molecule: long non-coding RNA, 26244 nt
Filed under: Medicago truncatula (barrel medic)
Lineage: Eukaryota; Viridiplantae; Streptophyta; Magnoliopsida; Fabales; Fabaceae
Description: long non-coding RNA (MTRU_LNC001685)
Source: RNAcentral